This is a long non-coding RNA of Hemiscyllium ocellatum (epaulette shark), 389 nucleotides long. RefSeq lists it as uncharacterized. The record is from RefSeq and is a predicted model, not a curated record. The transcript has 3 exons. NCBI's taxonomy places the organism in Eukaryota, Metazoa, Chordata, Chondrichthyes, Orectolobiformes, Hemiscylliidae.
UCAUAGCUUGAGUGACAAUAAUCCGGCAUCAGAAAAUCUUGAGGUGAACGCCAACAGUAUUUCGGAUCGAAUUCAUGGCAGUUGCAAAGACAUUGACAUUGUCUCUCAGGAUGGUCAGCCACAAUUGGACAGUGAUCCCGAUGAAUCUUUCGUACUAACAAAUGCUGAGAAUGGUCUUAGUUCACUCGGUAAACGUUAGAGUCUAUUUCGGCAUGGACUGUCCUAAAGCAUAUAACAUUGAGAGAAGCCAUCCAGUAACAUUUCCGAUAUCUUUUUAUUUCUCAACAUAAGGUUCACUUGAUUGUACUUCAUCAGCAGUUACUUUGUAUUGAACUAACUAUAAUUGUAUUCUCUUCUUUAUUUUUGUCUCCUCUACUUUGUGAUUUAUC